Molecule: ribosomal RNA, 2243 nt
Filed under: Salmonella enterica subsp. enterica serovar Fluntern
Lineage: Bacteria; Pseudomonadati; Pseudomonadota; Gammaproteobacteria; Enterobacterales; Enterobacteriaceae
Description: partial 23S ribosomal RNA
Rfam family: Bacterial large subunit ribosomal RNA
Source: RNAcentral
GGGUUGUGAGGUUAAGCGACUAAGCGUACACGGUGGAUGCCCUGGCAGUCAGAGGCGAUGAAGGGCGUGCUAAUCUGCGAUAAGCGCCGGUAAGGUGAUAUGAACCGUUAUAACCGGCGAUACCCGAAUGGGGAAACCCAGUGUGACUCGUCACACUAUCAUUAACUGAAUCCAUAGGUUAAUGAGGCGAACCGGGGGAACUGAAACAUCUAAGUACCCCGAGGAAAAGAAAUCAACCGAGAUUCCCCCAGUAGCGGCGAGCGAACGGGGAGGAGCCCAGAGCCUGAAUCAGCAUGUGUGUUAGUGGAAGCGUCUGGAAAGGCGCGCGAUACAGGGUGACAGCCCCGUACACAAAAGCGCAUGUGCUGUGAGCUCGAUGAGUAGGGCGGGACACGUGGUAUCCUGUCUGAAUAUGGGGGGACCAUCCUCCAAGGCUAAAUACUCCUGACUGACCGAUAGUGAACCAGUACCGUGAGGGAAAGGCGAAAAGAACCCCGGCGAGGGGAGUGAAAAAGAACCUGAAACCGUGUACGUACAAGCAGUGGGAGCCCCACCACCAAAGCAUUCUCUGGUGUUGAAGGCCCUGCAAAGCAGCAUCGCGGUGGCGGAGCGUCGUUUGCGACGCCCAACACACAAAACAAGCGGUGAGUGCUUUGGGGUGGGGUGACUGCGUACCUUUUGUAUAAUGGGUCAGCGACUUAUAUUCUGUAGCAAGGUUAACCGUAUAGGGGAGCCGCAGGGAAACCGAGUCUUAAUUGGGCGUUAAGUUGCAGGGUAUAGACCCGAAACCCGGUGAUCUAGCCAUGGGCAGGUUGAAGGUUGGGUAACACUAACUGGAGGACCGAACCGACUAAUGUUGAAAAAUUAGCGGAUGACCUGUGGCUGGGGGUGAAAGGCCAAUCAAACCGGGAGAUAGCUGGUUCUCCCCGAAAGCUAUUUAGGUAGCGCCUCGUGAAUUCAUCUCCGGGGGUAGAGCACUGUUUCGGCUAGGGGGCCAUCCCGGCUUACCAACCCGAUGCAAACUGCGAAUACCGGAGAAUGUUAUCACGGGAGACACACGGCGGGUGCUAACGUCCGUCGUGAAGAGGGAAACAACCCAGACCGCCAGCUAAGGUCCCAAAGUCAUGGUUAAGUGGGAAACGAUGUGGGAAGGCCCAGACAGCCAGGAUGUUGGCUUAGAAGCAGCCAUCAUUUAAAGAAAGCGUAAUAGCUCACUGGUCGAGUCGGCCUGCGCGGAAGAUGUAACGGGGCUAAACCAUGCACCGAAGCUGCGGCAGCGACGCUGAUGCGUUGUUGGGUAGGGGAGCGUUCUGUAAGCCUGUGAAGGUGGCCUGUGAGGGUUGCUGGAGGUAUCAGAAGUGCGAAUGCUGACAUAAGUAACGAUAAAGCGGGUGAAAAGCCCGCUCGCCGGAAGACCAAGGGUUCCUGUCCAACGUUAAUCGGGGCAGGGUGAGUCGACCCCUAAGGCGAGGCCGAAAGGCGUAGUCGAUGGGAAACGGGUUAAUAUUCCCGUACUUGGUGUUACUGCGAAGGGGGGACGGAGAAGGCUAUGUUGGCCGGGCGACGGUUGUCCCGGUUUAAGCGUGUAGGCGGGUGUUCCAGGUAAAUCCGGAACGCUGUUAACGCUGAGGCGUGAUGACGAGGCACUACGGUGCUGAAGCAACAAAUGCCCUGCUUCCAGGAAAAGCCUCUAAGCAUCAGGUAACAUCAAAUCGUACCCCAAACCGACACAGGUGGUCAGGUAGAGAAUACCAAGGCGCUUGAGAGAACUCGGGUGAAGGAACUAGGCAAAAUGGUGCCGUAACUUCGGGAGAAGGCACGCUGACACGUAGGUGAAGUGAUUUACUCAUGGAGCUGAAGUCAGUCGAAGAUACCAGCUGGCUGCAACUGUUUAUUAAAAACACAGCACUGUGCAAACACGAAAGUGGACGUAUACGGUGUGACGCCUGCCCGGUGCCGGAAGGUUAAUUGAUGGGGUCAGCGCAAGCGAAGCUCCUGAUCGAAGCCCCGGUAAACGGCGGCCGUAACUAUAACGGUCCUAAGGUAGCGAAAUUCCUUGUCGGGUAAGUUCCGACCUGCACGAAUGGCGUAAUGAUGGCCAGGCUGUCUCCACCCGAGACUCAGUGAAAUUGAACUCGCUGUGAAGAUGCAGUGUACCCGCGGCAAGACGGAAAGACCCCGUGAACCUUUACUAUAGCUUGACACUGAACAUUGAGCCUUGAUGUGUAGGAUAGGUGGGAGGC